UGGGGAAUAUUGCACAAUGGAGGGAACUCUGAUGCAGCGACGCCGCGUGAGUGAUGAAGGAAUUCGUUUCGUAAAACUCUGUUCUAUGGGAAGAAAAGGACUGUACCAUAGGAGAAAGCUCCGUCUAAAUACGUGCCAGCAGCCGCGGUAAUACGUAUGGAGCGAGCGUUGUCCGGAAUUAUUGGGCGUAAAGGGUGCGCAGGCGGCUUUACAAGUUGGAUGUGAAAUAUUGUGGCUCAACCACAAACGUGCAUCCAAAACUGCAAAGCUUGAGUUGAGGAGUGGUAAGUGGAAUUCCUGGUGUAACAGUGGAAUGCGUAGAUAUCAGGAGGAAUACCGGUGGGGAAGGCGACUUACUGGACUUGAACUGACGCUCAGGCACGAAAACGUGGGGAGCAAACAGG
RNAcentral lists this ribosomal RNA (404 nucleotides) under Fusobacteriota bacterium. Its description in RNAcentral is "Fusobacteria bacterium partial 16S ribosomal RNA". It matches the Rfam family "Bacterial small subunit ribosomal RNA", at positions 355 to 776 of the family's 1533-position model. The record is from RNAcentral. Lineage: Bacteria; Fusobacteriati; Fusobacteriota.